AAAGAGAGAAAAAGUAGGCAUAAAUAAAGGAAAAUUUAAAAUACAAUCUUUCCAAAAUUGGGCCUAAAGUCAAUAAAAAUAGAAUCUUUAGUCAUACAUUUGACUCUACCUCUGCUCUGUAUCCACGCGACCUUAAGCCGUGGGCACGGCUCAAUGGACAGAUUCUAGAAACUGGCCCAUAACAUGCAAAAUUCCAGCAUAUAGUUCAAAUAUUAGCCAAAAGCAUCCAAAAUCUCCACUUU
This 242-nucleotide unclassified non-coding RNA is filed under the name Hevea brasiliensis (rubber tree). The record is from RNAcentral. Lineage: Eukaryota; Viridiplantae; Streptophyta; Magnoliopsida; Malpighiales; Euphorbiaceae.